This 852-nucleotide ribosomal RNA is filed under the name Streptococcus salivarius. RNAcentral describes it as "bacterial SSU rRNA". It matches the Rfam family "Bacterial small subunit ribosomal RNA", at positions 67 to 887 of the family's 1533-position model. Lineage: Bacteria; Bacillati; Bacillota; Bacilli; Lactobacillales; Streptococcaceae. The record is from RNAcentral.
CUGAAGAGAGGAGCUUGCUCUUCUUGGAAGAGUUGCGAACGGGUGAGUAACGCGUAGGUAACCUGCCUUGUAGCGGGGGAUAACUAUUGGAAACGAUAGCUAAUACCGCAUAACAAUGGGUGACCCAUGUCAUUCAUUUGAAAGGGGCAACUGCUCCACUACAAGAUGGACCUGCGUUGUAUUAGCUAGUAGGUGAGGUAACGGCUCACCUAGGCGACGAUACAUAGCCGACCUGAGAGGGUGAUCGGCCACACUGGGACUGAGACACGGCCCAGACUCCUACGGGAGGCAGCAGUAGGGAAUCUUCGGCAAUGGGGGCAACCCUGACCGAGCAACGCCGCGUGAGUGAAGAAGGUUUUCGGAUCGUAAAGCUCUGUUGUAAGUCAAGAACGAGUGUGAGAGUGGAAAGUUCACACUGUGACGGUAGCUUACCAGAAAGGGACGGCUAACUACGUGCCAGCAGCCGCGGUAAUACGUAGGUCCCGAGCGUUGUCCGGAUUUUAUUUGGCGUAAAGCGAGCGCAGGCGGGUUUGAUUAGUUCUUGAAGUUAAAGGCUGUGGGCUCAACCAAUAGUUCCGCUUUGGAAAACUGUCAAAACUUGGAGUGCAGAAGGGGGAGAGUGGAAUUCCAUGUGGUAGCGGUGAAAAUGCGUAGAUAUAUGGAGGAACCACCGGGUGGCGAAAGCGGCUCUCUGGUCUGUAACUGACGCUGAGGCUCGAAAGCGUGGGGGAGCGAACAGGAUUAGAUACCCUGGUAGUCCACGCCGUAAACGAUGAGUGCUAGGUGUUGGGUCCUUUCCGGGAUUCAGUGCCGCAGCUAACGCAUUAAGCACUCCGCCUGGGGAGUACGACC